GGGGGUAUAGCUCAAUGGGAGAGUGAGUGCUUGGCAUGCAUCAAGGUCCUGGGUUCAAUCCCCAGUGCCUCCA
RNAcentral lists this transfer RNA (73 nucleotides) under Camelus bactrianus (Bactrian camel). It matches the Rfam family "tRNA". Rfam says of the family: Transfer RNA (tRNA) molecules are approximately 80 nucleotides in length. Their secondary structure includes four short double-helical elements and three loops (D, anti-codon, and T loops). Lineage: Eukaryota; Metazoa; Chordata; Mammalia; Artiodactyla; Camelidae. RNAcentral also lists the same sequence under 2 other names. The record is from Rfam by way of RNAcentral.